AGGAAAAUAGUUCAGUGGCAGAACAGUGGUUUCCAAAACCAAAGGCCAGGGGUUCAAGUCCCUUUUUUCCUG
RNAcentral lists this transfer RNA (72 nucleotides) under Psammoneis japonica. Its description in RNAcentral is "tRNA-Trp". It matches the Rfam family "tRNA". From Rfam's summary of the family: Transfer RNA (tRNA) molecules are approximately 80 nucleotides in length. Their secondary structure includes four short double-helical elements and three loops (D, anti-codon, and T loops). Further hydrogen bonds mediate the characteristic L-shaped molecular structure. tRNAs have two regions of fundamental functional importance: the anti-codon, which is responsible for specific mRNA codon recognition, and the 3' end, to which the tRNAs corresponding amino acid is attached (by aminoacyl-tRNA synthetases). tRNAs cope with the degeneracy of the genetic code in two manners: having more than one tRNA (with a specific anti-codon) for a particular amino acid; and 'wobble' base-pairing, i.e. permitting non-standard base-pairing at the 3rd anti-codon position. Lineage: Eukaryota; Bacillariophyta; Plagiogrammaphyceae; Plagiogrammales; Plagiogrammaceae. The record is from RNAcentral.